RNAcentral lists this transfer RNA (65 nucleotides) under Orbinia latreillii. Its description in RNAcentral is "tRNA-Gln". The record is from RNAcentral. Lineage: Eukaryota; Metazoa; Annelida; Polychaeta; Orbiniidae.
UGUGAUCUAGUGUAAUUCCUGCACAUAGAGCUUUGACCUCUAAAGAGGGCAUGUCCCGACCACAA